This 380-nucleotide ribosomal RNA is filed under the name uncultured Chlamydomonadaceae. Its description in RNAcentral is "SSU rRNA". It matches the Rfam family "Eukaryotic small subunit ribosomal RNA", at positions 585 to 972 of the family's 1831-position model. The record is from RNAcentral. Lineage: Eukaryota; Viridiplantae; Chlorophyta; Chlorophyceae; Chlamydomonadales; Chlamydomonadaceae.
CCAGCUCCAAUAGCGUAUAUUUAAGUUGUUGCAGUUAAAAAGCUCGUAGUUGGAUUUCGGGUGGGUUCCAGCGGUCUGCCUCUGGUAUGUACUGCUGUGGCUCACCUUUCUGUCGGGGACGGGCUCCUGGGCUUCACUGUCCGGGACUCGGAAUCGACGUGGUUACUUUGAGUAAAUUAGAGUGUUCAAAGCAAGCCUACGCUCUGAAUACAUUAGCAUGGAAUAACACGAUAGGACUCUGGCCUAUCUUGUUGGUCUGUAGGACCGGAGUAAUGAUUAAGAGGGACAGUCGGGGGCAUUCGUAUUUCAUUGUCAGAGGUGAAAUUCUUGGAUUUAUGAAAGACGAACUUCUGCGAAAGCAUUUGCCAAGGAUGUUUUCA